Molecule: ribosomal RNA, 253 nt
Filed under: Roseburia faecis M72/1
Lineage: Bacteria; Bacillati; Bacillota; Clostridia; Lachnospirales; Lachnospiraceae
Description: partial 16S ribosomal RNA
Rfam family: Bacterial small subunit ribosomal RNA
Source: RNAcentral
UACGUAUGGUGCAAGCGUUAUCCGGAUUUACUGGGUGUAAAGGGAGCGCAGGCGGUGCGGCAAGUCUGAUGUGAAAGCCCGGGGCUCAACCCCGGUACUGCAUUGAAAACUGUCGUACUAGAGUGUCGGAGGGGUAAGUGGAAUUCCUAGUGUAGCGGUGAAAUGCGUAGAUAUUAGGAGGAACACCAGUGGCGAAGGCGGCUUACUGGACGAUAACUGACGCUGAGGCUCGAAAGCGUGGGGAGCAAACAGG